UCCGGGUUGAGCUCGGUUGGUAGAGCGCCCUGUCUUACGUCAGGGAGGUUUUUCGGGGGUUCAAAUCCCUCACCCGGAA
This 79-nucleotide transfer RNA is filed under the name Leisingera caerulea. RNAcentral's name for it is "tRNA-OTHER". It matches the Rfam family "tRNA". From Rfam's summary of the family: Transfer RNA (tRNA) molecules are approximately 80 nucleotides in length. Their secondary structure includes four short double-helical elements and three loops (D, anti-codon, and T loops). Lineage: Bacteria; Pseudomonadati; Pseudomonadota; Alphaproteobacteria; Rhodobacterales; Roseobacteraceae. The record is from RNAcentral.